This 169-nucleotide non-coding RNA is filed under the name Chitinispirillales bacterium. RNAcentral describes it as "6S RNA". It matches the Rfam family "6S / SsrS RNA". From Rfam's summary of the family: E. coli 6S RNA was the first non coding RNA to be sequenced, but its function was unknown until recently. It consists of 184 nucleotides that fold into an extended hairpin structure with a large single-stranded internal bulge. The record is from RNAcentral. Lineage: Bacteria; Pseudomonadati; Fibrobacterota; Chitinispirillia; Chitinispirillales.
AAGACUCCGCUUGGAAAGACCAAGUUUCUUGACUAACACUUUAAAAACGGGAAUCCAUCUUUGGGCAGCGCGUGCAUGCCGUCCCUGUAGGCGGACUUUCAAACUGUUCAAGUGGACAACCACCAAUAGCUGUACGAGUUCAAGAAAAAUGGUGCCAAGCGGAGUUCCU